UCUUCCUUAGUAUAGUGGUUAGUAUAUCCGCCUGUCACGCGGGUGACCGGGGUUCGAUUCCCCGAGGGAGAG
Molecule: transfer RNA, 72 nt
Organism: Microsporidia sp.
Lineage: Eukaryota; Fungi; Microsporidia
Rfam family: tRNA
About the family: Transfer RNA (tRNA) molecules are approximately 80 nucleotides in length. Their secondary structure includes four short double-helical elements and three loops (D, anti-codon, and T loops).
Source: Rfam